UCCGCCAGGGGACUACGAGCACUAGCUUAAAACCCAAAGGACUUGGCGGUGCUUUAGACCCACCUAGAGGAGCCUGUUCUAUAACCGAUAACCCCCGUUAAACCUCACCCCUUCUUGCUAUUUCCGCCUAUAUACCGCCGUCGUCAGCCUACCCCGUGAAGGAUGAAGAGUAAACGAAAUUGGUAUCACCCAAAACGGCAGGUCGAGGUGUAGCGUAUGAAGGGGGAAGAAAUGGGCUACAUUUCCUAAACAGGAAAUUACGGACUGUACAAUGAAAAAGUACACAAAGGAGGAUUUAGCAGUAAGUAGAAAAUAGAGUGUUCU
RNAcentral lists this ribosomal RNA (324 nucleotides) under Aplocheilus lineatus (striped panchax). RNAcentral describes it as "partial 12S ribosomal RNA". It matches the Rfam family "Bacterial small subunit ribosomal RNA", at positions 868 to 1360 of the family's 1533-position model. The record is from RNAcentral. Lineage: Eukaryota; Metazoa; Chordata; Actinopteri; Cyprinodontiformes; Aplocheilidae.